AGGAAGGCGCCCGGGUGACUGUGUGUCGGCGCUGCCUGAUGAGGGGGGAACCUGAGUGACCUAUUCCCCCUUCAAGCCACGAGUGAAAGCGGGGACCUUCGGGCCUCUUGCUCCCGGAUGGGCCCAUAUCGGAUUAGCUAGUUGGUGGGGUAACGGCUCACCAAGGCGACAUCCCUACUGGUCUGAAGGACGACCAGCCCCUGGAACUGAGACACGGUCCAGACUCCUACGGAGGCACCUGGGGAAUUUUGUGGCAACCUGUCGCCGAAAUUCUUUUUUU
RNAcentral lists this ribosomal RNA (280 nucleotides) under uncultured beta proteobacterium. RNAcentral's name for it is "partial 16S ribosomal RNA". The stretch from base 1 to 244 matches the Rfam family "Bacterial small subunit ribosomal RNA", at positions 56 to 357 of the family's 1533-position model. The record is from RNAcentral. Lineage: Bacteria; Pseudomonadati; Pseudomonadota; Betaproteobacteria.